UGCCUUCUUAGCAUAACGGGUAAUGCGGCCUUGCACUAUGGCGGGCAGAUGUGGGUUCAAAUCCCACAGUAGGUAA
This 76-nucleotide transfer RNA is filed under the name Serratia phage Slocum. Its description in RNAcentral is "tRNA-Val". It matches the Rfam family "tRNA". From Rfam's summary of the family: Transfer RNA (tRNA) molecules are approximately 80 nucleotides in length. The record is from RNAcentral. Lineage: Duplodnaviria; Heunggongvirae; Uroviricota; Caudoviricetes; Demerecviridae.